This 433-nucleotide ribosomal RNA is filed under the name uncultured bacterium. Its description in RNAcentral is "partial 16S ribosomal RNA". It matches the Rfam family "Bacterial small subunit ribosomal RNA", at positions 29 to 507 of the family's 1533-position model. The record is from RNAcentral.
AACGAACGCUGGCGGCAUGCCUAACACAUGCAAGUCGAACGAGACCUUCGGGUCUAUUGGCGCACGGGUGCGUAACGCGUGGGAACCUGCACUUAGGUUCGGAAUAACUCCCCGAAAGGGGUGCUAAUACCGGAUAAUGUCUUCGGCCCAAAGAUUUAUCGCCCUUGGAUGGGCCCGCGUUGGAUUAGCUAGUUGGUAGGGUAAAAGCCUGCCAAGGCGACGAUCCAUAGCUGGUCUGAGAGGAUGAUCAGCCACACUGGGACUGAGAAACGGCCUAGACUCCUACGGGAGGCAGCAGUGGGGAAUAUUGGACAAUGGGCGAAAGCCUGAUCCAGCAAUGCCGGGUGAGUGAUGAAGGCCUUAGGGUUGUAAAGCUCUUUUACCCGGGAUGAUAAUGACAGUACCGGGAGAAUAAGCUCCGGCUAACUCCGUG